UGGGAGGCGUGGGCGUCAGCAGAUUCAUUCCCGAGGCGCUCGGAGAAGCGGAGCAUCAGAGACGACCGAAGGCCGGCAGUGUUCACGCUGGACGCUGAUCCCAGCAAACGGCUGGAGGAACGCAGCAGGAUCGAGGACUCGGGGCUAAGGCUCAGCUUUGAACGUCUUGACAGCAAAUGUGGGGUGUGAGAGACGGCACUGCUGGGACUUGAUUUGCGUGAAAUAACUCUUACACGUGCUUUGCCAGUUUUUCUAUACUUGUAAAAUGACUUUCUGCUAGAGAGCUCUAGACACUCUCAAAUAAAGCACAACCGUUUUUAAAUAAAGGUUGUCGAGUGGGUUAAUUUACUUGAGCAGUGAAAAUUUACCAAGUGCCCCCUGGGCGCAGGCCGCUGGGCUCAGGACCAUGGAGACAGAAUUUCACCCGACAAACGUUUAUUGAGCGCUGCUCCGGGAGUGGGGCUGUAUCAGUGAGAAAACAAGGAGAGACAAAAAUCCCUACCCUUUCGGAGUUUACAUCUAACGGGGAGAGACGGGCAGGGAAAAGUAAACAGUAAGUACAUCAUGAUGUGUUAGAAUGUGACAAAAUGCUGUUUAAAAUUAUGAGACAGUUAAGGAGACUCACUGAGCAAGUCGUUGAAGAAGACGCAGAUCUACUAUGUGGGGCUCCGGGCAAGAGCAUUCCAGGCAGAGGGGCCGCCAGUGCCAAGGCCCUGGGGCACAGGGCUGCAUCUGAAGAACAACAAAGAGGCCGAGUGUUUUUGGUGACGUGAGAGCGAGUAACGGGGAGAGGGUGAAGAGAAACGGCCGAUGACGUGGGGUCUCGUGGGACCUUCCAGGACUUGGGCUUUUACGUUGACGAGGCAGAGAGCCGCUGGGUCAGGAGCAGAGGAGCGAUCGACUCGUUUUCUAACAGGAUCCCUCAGGGGCAGCACUGAGAACAUGGGCAGAAAGCGGGCGACAAGCGAGGAGCUGACAUGGGAGAGAGGGGUUUCCGAGGGCGGAGGGAGAGCGCGUUGGGGCGGCAUGGGGUGGGGCAGCCCUCCAGCUCCGCCCUGGCGCACGGAGCCUUCCGCGAGGAGCCUGAGGAUGGAGAUCCUGCUGCAGAGGAUGUGGAUCCCGAGGGCUGAGCGCGGGGUCUUGUGAUCCAAGGCGGAGACGGAGCCAGGGAUGCGCGGAGCCUGACGGGGCUUCUUGCGGCCCUGACACAGGGGUAAAGAGGGCGAUGCAAUGAGUCCUGGGGACCCGAGGCGGCCCGGGGUGGCAGAGGCCGGAGGGCAGGGGGCGGUUCCGGCCCUGGGACGUGGCUUUGGCUCGGGUUGGGACGCAGGGAGGCUGGCGAGACGUGGGAUUGGUCCCGCCCCGAGAUCUUCUCUUCAGCCCCGAGGAUGGAAGGCAGGCCGAGGGACCUUCGGUCAAUAGACGUGAUGAAGACAGUGUCCCGCUCAGGAUGCUCGGCCUAUACGGAGAAGAGCGCCCGUGUGACCGCGGCUCAGCGCACAGACCAGCACAGACUUCAGUCCAAGGUCGCUCUGUGCGCGUUAUGGACAACGGUCCGCGAGCCCGCCAGCUCGUGCGCGCUGGGCGGCUGUGACCGGCUCCGCUUUAGCCGGUUCCCGGAGCCCUGACGCCGCGCUCCUUGCCAAGAGGUCCACCGGCCAGCAGCGGCCGCCUCACCUAGACACUCGUUGGAGAUACGGGACUGGCCCGGCCCGGGGCUACUGAAUCAGCGUCCGCACUGAACCAGAUCCCCAUUCGAGCCCUGGGAAUGCGCCUCAUUAUUAGUAGGAACAAAGCAGGUGCUUCCAGGAAGAGAAGCCAAGGUGGAGCUUUGGAACCUGGCGUGUGGUUACACCUACAGCACAGCUCAGUCCAGAGCAGCCACACUCCAAGAGCUCAGUGGACGCCUGGGCUAACGGCUGUGGUGCUGGAUGGUGCAGCUUCGGGCAACAGAGGUGCGCGCUGUGAGAGACAGAUUUCCACUUCUGGAAAACAAAAUGACUGCCCGUUUAAAGUAGAAGAGGUGGUUCAGCAGACCAUGCAGGGAAUCAACCACUAUGAAGGACAAGCAUCUUUUAGGAUUUUGGGAUCUGCGUAGCUGGGUCAGUGCUGGGAUGGGGGACAUGAAAGGACCCAGUGCUGUGGUGGGUGCUCCUGGCCCAAUCCUCUUUCUCAGAAGCGUCACUCACCAAUCUUCUCCCAAACUGGCUGGACUUCCUUCCCAAAGCUGAGGAUGGUUUGAAACAAGCCAACAAUGAGCGGGACAAGAUUUAUCCUUGGGCCAUUCACCCACUCCAUCCUGUGCACCCUCCCCUCACCAGACACAGCCCUUCUCUUUGGCCCAGGAGGGCACCUGCUGUCAAAAGCCUUCUCAUCAAAGCGUCAUGCCCUCUUCCACAAGGAGUGACUGUCUACACGAGGACGCAGGUGACACAGAGUCCUUGUUCUCCAUGGCUCUUGUGAAAAGGGACUAAUGCACAGCCAGAAGAACGUCAAGCACAGCUGGGCAGGGGGAGAGAUGGGGAGAAAGUUGGAACGACUGGGCCCGAGAUGGUACCGUGCAGGCAGCAGCACCCCCCUAGAACAGAGUGAGGGGUGAGGGUGGAGCACCCUCCAGGGGUCAAGAUGGGCCGGCAGCAAUGACAGGCUGCCCCUGGGCACUUGCGGCUUCUGUUGUGUGGCCAAAGUAUCAGGCUUACCAUCCUCAGAGAAUAAGGUCAUUUUACUUCUUUAAAAAUGUAGAAUUUAAAUAAUUUUACCAAAAUUAGGUUUAAAGAUGAUUCGUAUGAGUAAGUUCUUAAAUCAAAGCCUGAGGAAGAACUGCUCCCUGCCUCCUACUGUCACACGGCUCUCAUCACGCAGGCGACCCUGUUUACAGCCCAACGUCAUGGCUGCAAUCUUCUGGCUCACACCGAGGUCUUGUUUGGGAACCAUGCUCUUUUAUUAGGGCAGAGGGAACAUUUAAAGGGGUUUUCACAGUUUCUCUGGGCCAACAGUACUCUAACUUUCUGUUUUCCUUUUCUACUGUUACAUGGAAGGAAGGAGCCCCUCUCUGUGUUAAAAUGUGGGGAUUAUUUUGUAAAUUUGACUAUGAAGAAGAGUUAUUUACUCUUUUUAAAAAGUGAUUUACUUUUUUUUUUAAAAGAUAAAGUAGUCUUAGCUGAUAUCUGCAAGGUGUUAUAAGGACUUUUUGGGUCAAAUUACUCUAAAGUCACCCAUUAAGAGAAAUCUGACACAUAUGAGACAAAAUGUGUGUGACUUAAUCUGUCUGGAACCCUACAGUGGUCCCCUUUGCUGAAAGACGAGGUAUAAAUGCUGUCUAAUGUGGAUAAGUGUAGGACACACAUAGUGAGCUAAGUUGAUGCUGACAGGUAAAGUGAAGACACGAAGAAAUCUUAACGUUUGACUCAGGAGCUUGCACUUAAUUUGGUAGGUAGUAGGGAGCUGUUGAAGGUUUUAGAGUAAAGAGAACGGUAAUCUCAGGGUGGUGCUUUAGCUGCAGGAGAAAUGGAGGGAGGAAGAAAGCUCAAAAGUUUGUUGGGGCAGGGCCUACAGGACCACAGCAGAUCAAAUGUGGAGACUAAGGAAGAAAGAGGAGUGAAAGAUGACUCAGAUUUUGAGCUAAGAAGGAUGACAGCUGCCUGAAAGGACAGAGGCCGGAAGUUGUUGGGGGAAAAUAUAAUUAACUUGACCUUGAACAUGCAGAGUUCGAGGAUCAAAUGAAAAAAUGGAUUGAAGCACUUCCAGGAGUGUACGGCACUGUUCUCACAUAAUAAAAUAAUAAUAAUACCAUUCGUUAAACAUGGAGCAAGUAUCUUAUAUGGACUCUCCCAGAUACAGGCUGAGCCCCAUCGUCAUGAAAACGAUCUUUAAGUCCAGGAGAAGAACCUCUGGGCAGAGGGGCCUGGGUCCUGGACUUAUGUGUCAGUUGGGGCCAAUGGGAGGAAGCAGUGAGAAAGUCGCACAGGACCCACAGGGAGUGAGGUGGCUGGAGGCCACUCUAGGCAGCUCGGCGGCCUGGAGACGAUGACUUUGAGGAAGAAGAGCACGGACUUUCCAGUAGGAUUGGCUGAGUUCAAAUUCAGAUUCUGCAAUUGAACAAGCUGGGUUAUUCUGGGCAACUUAACCUUCGGGUGCUCAGUUUCCCCGUCUGAAAUUGGGGCUAUGCCAAGUAUCUGCUCUUAACGGUUGUUGUGAGGACUAAGUGAGAUUAUGCUGAAAAGCGCUAAGAACAGCGCCUGGAAUACGGCAACGACUCAAAACCAUUAAUGAUGCCAAGUGCUAAUGGGGUGAAAAAUGGAAAUUAAGAAAAGAAACCUAAUUACACGGGAGUCGGGAAGGCCUGUAGGGGGAGCUCUCAUGCCCCAUCAUUGCUUGCAUCUCAGACAGGAAGCGCAACUGCUUUAUUACUGAAGGAAGAUUUCUCUCCCCACCCAGCAG
Molecule: long non-coding RNA, 4440 nt
Filed under: Equus caballus (horse)
Lineage: Eukaryota; Metazoa; Chordata; Mammalia; Perissodactyla; Equidae
Description: lncRNA (ENSECAG00000059772.1)
Source: RNAcentral